RNAcentral lists this ribosomal RNA (547 nucleotides) under uncultured bacterium. RNAcentral describes it as "bacterial SSU rRNA". It matches the Rfam family "Bacterial small subunit ribosomal RNA", at positions 355 to 896 of the family's 1533-position model. The record is from RNAcentral.
UGGGGAAUAUUGCGCAAUGGGGGGAACCCUGACGCAGCCAUGCCGCGUGAAUGAAGAAGGCCUUCGGGUUGUAAAGUUCUUUCGGUAUUGAGGAAGGUUGAUGUGUUAAUAGCACAUCAAAUUGACGUUAAAUACAGAAGAAGCACCGGCUAACUCCGUGCCAGCAGCCGCGGUAAUACGGAGGGUGCGAGCGUUAAUCGGAAUAACUGGGCGUAAAGGGCACGCAGGCGGUUAUUUAAGUGAGGUGUGAAAGCCCCGGGCUUAACCUGGGAAUUGCAUUUCAGACUGGGUAACUAGAGUACUUUAGGGAGGGGUAGAAUUCCACGUGUAGCGGUGAAAUGCGUAGAGAUGUGGAGGAAUACCGAAGGCGAGGGCAGCCCCUUGGGAAUGUACUGACGCUCAUGUGCGGAAGCGUGGGGAGCAAACAGGAUUAGAUACCCUGGUAGUCCACGCUGUAAACGCUGUCGAUUUGGGGGUUGGGGUUUAACUCUGGCGCCCGUAGCUAACGUGAUAAAUCGACCGCCUGGGGAGUACGGCCGCAAGGUUA